This 468-nucleotide ribosomal RNA is filed under the name uncultured bacterium. RNAcentral's name for it is "partial 16S ribosomal RNA". It matches the Rfam family "Bacterial small subunit ribosomal RNA", at positions 28 to 507 of the family's 1533-position model. The record is from RNAcentral.
GACGAACGCUGGCGGCGUGCUUAACACAUGCAAGUCGAACGGAAAGGCCCUGCUUUUGCGGGGUGCGCGAGUGGCGAACGGGGGAGUAACACGCGAGUAACCUGCCCUCGCCUUUGGGGGAACUUCAGGUAAAUGGGUGUAUUAUCCGAUAUGAGCUGCGUCUGCAUCGUGGCGGGUGGAAAGUUGCUGCCGUUGGGGAUGGACUCGCGGCUGAUCAGCUUGUUGUUGGGGUAGUGGCUUAGCAAGGCUUUGACGGGUAGCCGGCCUGAGAGGGUGACCGGGCACAUUGGGACUGAGAUACGGCACAGAGCCGUACGGAAGACAGCAGUGGGGAAUAUUGCACAAUGGGCCGAAGCCGCGUGCAGCAUGGCCGCGUGCGGGAUGACGGCCUUCGGGUUGUAUACCGCUUUCGCGUGUGACGAAGGGUGAGUGACGGUAAUGGGUAAAGAAGCACCGGCUAACUACGUG